Molecule: ribosomal RNA, 867 nt
Filed under: Acinetobacter calcoaceticus
Lineage: Bacteria; Pseudomonadati; Pseudomonadota; Gammaproteobacteria; Moraxellales; Moraxellaceae
Description: bacterial SSU rRNA
Rfam family: Bacterial small subunit ribosomal RNA
Source: RNAcentral
GCAGGCUUAACACAUGCAAGUCGAGCGGGGUGAUGGUGCUUGCACUAUCACCUAGCGGCGGACGGGUGAGUAAUGCUUAGGAAUCUGCCUAUUAGUGGGGGACAACAUUUCGAAAGGAAUGCUAAUACCGCAUACGUCCUACGGGAGAAAGCAGGGGAUCUUCGGACCUUGCGCUAAUAGAUGAGCCUAAGUCGGAUUAGCUAGUUGGUGGGGUAAAGGCCUACCAAGGCGACGAUCUGUAGCGGGUCUGAGAGGAUGAUCCGCCACACUGGGACUGAGACACGGCCCAGACUCCUACGGGAGGCAGCAGUGGGGAAUAUUGGACAAUGGGCGCAAGCCUGAUCCAGCCAUGCCGCGUGUGUGAAGAAGGCCUUAUGGUUGUAAAGCACUUUAAGCGAGGAGGAGGCUACUUUAGAUAAUACCUAGAGAUAGUGGACGUUACUCGCAGAAUAAGCACCGGCUAACUCUGUGCCAGCAGCCGCGGUAAUACAGAGGGUGCAAGCGUUAAUCGGAUUUACUGGGCGUAAAGCGCGCGUAGGCGGCUAAUUAAGUCAAAUGUGAAAUCCCCGAGCUUAACUUGGGAAUUGCAUUCGAUACUGGUUAGCUAGAGUGUGGGAGAGGAUGGUAGAAUUCCAGGUGUAGCGGUGAAAUGCGUAGAGAUCUGGAGGAAUACCGAUGGCGAAGGCAGCCAUCUGGCCUAACACUGACGCUGAGGUGCGAAAGCAUGGGGAGCAAACAGGAUUAGAUACCCUGGUAGUCCAUGCCGUAAACGAUGUCUACUAGCCGUUGGGGCCUUUGAGGCUUUAGUGGCGCAGCUAACGCGAUAAGUAGACCGCCUGGGGAGUACGGUCGCAAGACUAAAACUCA